Long non-coding RNA from Syngnathus typhle (broad-nosed pipefish), 1000 nucleotides. RefSeq lists it as uncharacterized. The record is from RefSeq and is a predicted model, not a curated record. Lineage: Eukaryota; Metazoa; Chordata; Actinopteri; Syngnathiformes; Syngnathidae. The transcript is spliced from 3 exons.
AUUUCUGACGCGCGACUGGCGGCGACGUCACGAGGGGAAAUUUAUAAGGUGCCUCUGUGGCCACGCCCACUGGGAUGUCCUUGACAGCAGCGAGAUUUAAAUACAUAGGUGGUGUUCUUAAACGUUUCUGGUCGAGAGACAAAGAUGACGAGUACAUAACAAAUCUGUUUUGGGCAGAGUAAAGAGAUUGAAGUACAGAUACGUGAAAAAUCUACUUAAGUACAGUCACAAAUUAUUUUGAUACCAAUUAAACAUAACUACCUUGUGUAUGGAAAUUGCAAAAUCAUUUUAAAAUCAAAUUUAGUUUUAGAGGGAAAAAAAGGAUAAAGCCAAAACUAAGAUUUGAAUACCAAACCUCAGAAACGUGACGCAGAUGAUCAAACCACUACACCACCAUCAAUCUCAAAUCCUCCAUGUUGUUUUCGCAUUUAGGCUCAUUUGACUGUGAGCUGUGUCUGGCCUGAAGAAAUAGCCUCCAUUAUUCUCCGUUGACUAAAAAAAGGAACCGGGAGCAGUUGGUUGUUCUUGUGCACUUGUUGGCUUUCACCAGUGAUGCUGACCAAAGGAGCAACAAGCAGCUGCUCGGAACCUCGGCAACGCAGAGCGACGCUUCGUGAUGAAGACGAUCCAACCUGGUCCGUUCAGGGAAUCCCCUCCUCCCCUCCAUUUUCGUCACCGGGAUUAAUUCCUGCCUUUGGAUCAGCUCCCAACGGGAGCUCCAGCAGAGCAGCGGUUUAUCCCAUGUGGAUGGAGUUGAAAUGCAACUUCUGCUCCCAAGCGGGCCACUGAAGGAGGAGCAGCAAAGGUCUCGUCUUGAUCCCUGGAGCCCAAACAAUUGGAUCUCGGCGCGGAUAGCCCCAAGGCAAAGCCAUCUGCCAUAGAAAGGAGAAAGAGAGUCCCAUUGUGGGGUCAGCUAUUGUGGAAUGCCAGCGCGGAUUGAUGAAGGCUUGGCCGAUUCCUUUAAAACGGAGACGACACGGCAGGGGAGGGGAGGGGAACC